AUUUCAAAUCGAUUCACACACAUAGCAGACGCUAACACAUCAAGCGUCAUCAAUAGCGUGGUCUAUGGUGCAAUGCUAUCACUGGAGUAAGGCGUUUAUCUUCUAUUCGGGUAGCGUCAUGAUUGGCCUACCCUGAUGGCGUCAUGAUCGCUGCUGAUUGCCUUUCAAAUAGGUUUUCAGCAUUCUGCUUACACCUUUGGCAUAGAGUCACAUAUUUCACAAUCCAACAUCAAUUGGUACCAACAGCAGCCCUUCUCUCCAUCAUCCAGAAGGGUCUGAGAUCAGUGUUGGAGAUGAUGGUUCGGAACAACCCAUGGAAAGCUUAUCACUCAUUGAUGCUGUGAUGCCUGAUGUUGUUGCAAGUCGUCAACAGCAAACCCAGAACAAACAGAAACCACAAGUGGUAAAGACAGAACCACCAAAUUCCAAUGGAGAUGAACCCAUGCAUUCCAAUCGCUGGGAAGAGGAAACAGGAGUAGAGAUACCUGCCAGCAAAUCUACUGUACUUCGUGGCCAUGAAUCUGAAGUUUUCAUCUGUCUGCGCCUGAACCCAACAACAUUCAGAAGGGUGGAACUGAAGUUCCGAGCAACAAAGAUGUCACCUCACUUGACUGGUAUUUGCUGGGAUAACUGAACAGAAGUUUUAAAGAAAGACAGAAACAAUUGACAAGACCCAUCUCUUCUAGAUUUCACCGUCCAACUGGCUUCUGUAAAAGAAUCGAGCAGGCUGAGUCUUGAGACACUGGCAACAGAAGUUUGAGAAUGGAAAUCACAGAUUGAUGACCUUCAGAAGGAAUUGUUAGUUGCAGAUCCCGAUCUUAUCGAUUUUAUGAAAGGAUUUCUAGUUGAAGCAAAGGAGAAAGUGUUGGCAAUGCAGAAUGCAUUCAUGGAACAAUUAAUCAUUUAAUUCAACAAUUCCAACGUAAUACGAAGGAAAUCUGAUUUAUGGCUUAUUUAAUAGCUUAGCUUAUCGUCGUUAGUAACUUGCAUCGUAACGAAUUAAUUUUUUGGUAGCUUCUUGAUUGUUUAAACGAAGUACAAGGUUACAAUCAAUGCAUUAUAGUAGCGUUGUAUAAUGUAUAAUCCACUUAAUGGCCACUUAAUGAGAUGGAAUAUUGGAAUGUUAAACUUUAUUGAAGUGAGAAAAAUUUAAUUUGAACAAAGUGAGGCUGACUGGAAACAAACUAAGAUGAAUAAUUAAA
Molecule: long non-coding RNA, 1202 nt
Filed under: Daphnia pulex (common water flea)
Lineage: Eukaryota; Metazoa; Arthropoda; Branchiopoda; Diplostraca; Daphniidae
Description: uncharacterized LOC124207104
Source: RNAcentral